Molecule: ribosomal RNA, 468 nt
Filed under: uncultured bacterium
Lineage: Bacteria
Description: bacterial SSU rRNA
Rfam family: Bacterial small subunit ribosomal RNA
Source: RNAcentral
UAGGGAAUAUUGGACAAUGGGUGAGAGCCUGAUCCAGCCAUGCCGCGUGCAGGAAGAAGGCGUUAUGCGUUGUAAACUGCUUUUUGCCAGGGGAUAAAAAGACCGUGCGCGGUUAAUUGAAGGUACCUGGUGAAUAAGCCACGGCUAACUACGUGCCAGCAGCCGCGGUAAUACGUAGGUGGCAAGCGUUGUCCGGAUUUAUUGGGUUUAAAGGGUGCGUAGGUGGCCCUGUAAGUCAGUGGUGAAAUAUCUCAGCUUAACUGAGAGGGUGCCAUUGAUACUGCAGGGCUUGAGUACAGAUGAGGUAGGCGGAAUUGACGGUGUAGCGGUGAAAUGCAUAGAUAUCGGGAGGAACACCUGUGGCGAAGGCGGCCACCUGGUUGGAUACUGACGCUGAGACGCGAAAGCGUGGGGAGCGAAACAGGAUUAGAUACCCGUGUAGUCCCUGAGCGGGCUGGCAAGGCGCAU